Molecule: ribosomal RNA, 404 nt
Filed under: uncultured bacterium
Lineage: Bacteria
Description: bacterial SSU rRNA
Rfam family: Bacterial small subunit ribosomal RNA
Source: RNAcentral
AACGAACGCUGGCGGCGCGCCUAAUACAUGCAAGUCGAGCGAGAAGACGUAGCAAUACGUUUGUAAAGCGGCGAACGGGUGAGGAAUACAUGGGUAACCUACCCUCGAGUGGGGAAUAACUAGCCGAAAGGUUAGCUAAUACCGCGUACGCUUCUUGGACUUCGGUUCAGGGAGGAAAGCGAUACCGUGGGUAUCGCGCUCUUGGAUGGGCUCAUGUCCUAUCAGCUUGUUGGGAGGUAACGGCUCACCAAGGCUUCGACGGGUAGCUGGUCUGAGAGGACGAUCAGCCACACUGGCACUGCGACACGGGCCAGACUCCUACGGGAGGCAGCAGUAAGGAAUAUUGCGCAAUGGGCGAAAGCCUGACGCAGCGACGCCGCGUGGGGGAUGAAGGUCUUCGGAUU